RNAcentral lists this ribosomal RNA (428 nucleotides) under uncultured prokaryote. RNAcentral describes it as "bacterial SSU rRNA". It matches the Rfam family "Bacterial small subunit ribosomal RNA", at positions 355 to 774 of the family's 1533-position model. The record is from RNAcentral.
UGAGGAAUUUUGCGCAAUGGGCGAAAGCCUGACGCAGCAACGCCGCGUGAGUGACGAAGGCCUUCGGGUCGUAAAGCUCUGUCAAAGGGAAAGAAGUGCAUGGUGGCUAAUACCUGCCAUGUUUGACGGUACCCUUAAAGGAAGCACCGGCUAACUCCGUGCCAGCAGCCGCGGUAAUACGGAGGGUGCAAGCGUUGUUCGGAAUCACUGGGCGUAAAGGGCGCGUAGGCGGUUUGAUAAGUCAGAUGUGAAAGCCCACGGCUUAACUGUGGAAGUGCAUUUGAAACUGUCAGACUUGAGUAUCAGAGGGGAAAGUGGAAUUCCCGGUGUAGAGGUGAAAUUCGUAGAUAUCGGGAGGAAUACCGGUGGCGAAGGUGACUUUCUGGCUGAAUACUGACGCUGAGGCGCGAAAGCGUGGGGAGCAAACA